Molecule: transfer RNA, 73 nt
Filed under: Stegodyphus mimosarum
Lineage: Eukaryota; Metazoa; Arthropoda; Arachnida; Araneae; Eresidae
Rfam family: tRNA
About the family: Transfer RNA (tRNA) molecules are approximately 80 nucleotides in length.
Source: Rfam by way of RNAcentral
GCCUUCGUGGUGUAGUGGUUAGCACGCUCGGCACGUAUUCGAGAGGUCCGUGGUUCGAAUCCCGGCGGUGGCA